This 531-nucleotide ribosomal RNA is filed under the name Aspergillus niger. RNAcentral describes it as "eukaryotic LSU rRNA". The stretch from base 140 to 293 matches the Rfam family "5.8S ribosomal RNA". Lineage: Eukaryota; Fungi; Ascomycota; Eurotiomycetes; Eurotiales; Aspergillaceae. The record is from RNAcentral.
CCCUGUUGCUUCGGCGGGCCCGCCGCUUGUCGGCCGCCGGGGGGGCGCCUUUGCCCCCCGGGCCCGUGCCCGCCGGAGACCCCAACACGAACACUGUCUGAAAGCGUGCAGUCUGAGUUGAUUGAAUGCAAUCAGUUAAAACUUUCAACAAUGGAUCUCUUGGUUCCGGCAUCGAUGAAGAACGCAGCGAAAUGCGAUAACUAAUGUGAAUUGCAGAAUUCAGUGAAUCAUCGAGUCUUUGAACGCACAUUGCGCCCCCUGGUAUUCCGGGGGGCAUGCCUGUCCGAGCGUCAUUGCUGCCCUCAAGCCCGGCUUGUGUGUUGGGUCGCCGUCCCCCUCUCCGGGGGGACGGGCCCGAAAGGCAGCGGCGGCACCGCGUCCGAUCCUCGAGCGUAUGGGGCUUUGUCACAUGCUCUGUAGGAUUGGCCGGCGCCUGCCGACGUUUUCCAACCAUUUUUUCCAGGUUGACCUCGGAUCAGGUAGGGAUACCCGCUGAACUUAAGCAUAUCAAUAAGCGGAGGAANUNCCCGC